Molecule: small RNA, 165 nt
Filed under: Chelonoidis abingdonii (Abingdon island giant tortoise)
Lineage: Eukaryota; Metazoa; Chordata; Testudines; Testudinidae
Description: TUC338 (ENSCABG00000018529.1)
Source: RNAcentral
AAGCCCAAGAGACUGAGGGGCUAUUUUACAGAAAUAGUAUAGUAUGGACAGCAGUAGCGCAUGCUUCCUCACAUAACCCUGGCAGUGUGCCUCAAUCCUGACCUGGGAGCGAGCACUUCUAAGGUGAAGGGGUAAUAGUAUCUGAAAUUGCUAACAAGUGCUACA